RNAcentral lists this ribosomal RNA (483 nucleotides) under uncultured bacterium. Its description in RNAcentral is "SSU rRNA". It matches the Rfam family "Bacterial small subunit ribosomal RNA", at positions 26 to 518 of the family's 1533-position model. The record is from RNAcentral.
AGGACGAACGCUGGCGGCGUGCUUAACACAUGCAAGUGGAGCGACGAACCAGGGCUUGCCCUGGGGCAGAGCCGCGAACGGGUGAGUAACACGUGGGUAACGUGCCCCGAUGACUGGGACAACCCGGGGAAACCCGGGCUAAUACCGGAUAUGCCCCCUGAUAUUUGUCAGGUGUGUAAAGGAAGCUUCGGCCUCCGCAUCGGGAUCGGCCCGCGGCGCAUUAGCUUGUUGGUGGGGUAAUGGCCUACCAAGGCAGCGAUGCGUAGCUGGUCUGAGAGGACGAUCAGCCACACUGGGACUGAGACACGGCCCAGACUCCUACGGGAGGCAGCAGUGGGGAAUAUUGCGCAAUGGGCGGAAGCCUGACGCAGCGACGCCGCGUGGGGGAUGACGGCCUUCGGGUUGUAACCUCUUUCGCCAGGGACGAAGAGAAUUGACGGUACCUGGAUAAGAAGCACCGGCCAACUACGUGCCAGCAGCCGC